UGCCAGCAGCCGCGGUAAUACGGAGGGUGCAAGCAUUAAUCGGAUUUAUUGGGCGUAAAGAGCGCGUAGGUGGGAAAAUAAGUCAGACGUGAAAGCCUGGAGCUCAACUCCAGAAUUGCAUUUGAAACUGUUUUCCUUGAGGAUAGGCGGAGAAGACGGAAUUCCACGUGUAGCGGUGAAAUGCGUAGAUAUGUGGAAGAACACCGGUGGCGAAGGCGGUCUUCUAGCUUAUUCCUGACACUGAGGCGCGAAAGCAAGGGGAGCAAACAGGAUUAGAUA
RNAcentral lists this ribosomal RNA (279 nucleotides) under uncultured bacterium. Its description in RNAcentral is "partial 16S ribosomal RNA". It matches the Rfam family "Bacterial small subunit ribosomal RNA", at positions 506 to 784 of the family's 1533-position model. The record is from RNAcentral.